GAUGAACGCUGGCGGCGUGCCUAAUACAUGCAAGUCGAGCGAACGGACGAGAAGCUUGCUUCUCUGAUGUUAGCGGCGGACGGGUGAGCAACACGUGGAUAACCUACCUAUAAGACUGGGAUAACUUCGGGAAACCGGAGCUAAUACCGGAUAAUAUUUUGAACCGCAUGGUUCAAAAGUGAAAGACGGUCUUGCUGUCACUUAUAGAUGGAUCCGCGCUGCAUUAGCUAGUUGGUAAGGUAACGGCUUACCAAGGCAACGAUGCAUAGCCGACCUGAGAGGGUGAUCGGCCACACUGGAACUGAGACACGGUCCAGACUCCUACGGGAGGCAGCAGUAGGGAAUCUUCCGCAAUGGGCGAAAGCCUGAAGGAGCAACGCCGCGUGAGUGAUGAAGGUCUUCGGAUCGUAAAACUCUGUUAUUAGGGAAGAACAUAUGUGUAAGUAACUGUGCACAUCUUGACGGUACCUAAUCAGAAAGCCACGGCUAACUACGUG
Molecule: ribosomal RNA, 497 nt
Filed under: uncultured bacterium
Lineage: Bacteria
Description: partial 16S ribosomal RNA
Rfam family: Bacterial small subunit ribosomal RNA
Source: RNAcentral